This 266-nucleotide ribosomal RNA is filed under the name uncultured bacterium. Its description in RNAcentral is "partial 16S ribosomal RNA". It matches the Rfam family "Bacterial small subunit ribosomal RNA", at positions 509 to 774 of the family's 1533-position model. The record is from RNAcentral.
CAGCAGCCGCGGUAAUACGAAGGGGGCGAGCGUUGUUCGGAUUUACUGGGCGUAAAGGGCGCGCAGGCGGCUCGUUUUGGCAGGCGUGAAAGCCCCGGGCUUAACCUGGGAGGUGCGUUUGAUACGGAUGGGCUAGAGUUCGGGAGAGGAGAGUGGAAUUCCCAGUGUAGAGGUGAAAUUCGUAGAUAUUGGGAAGAACACCGGUGGCGAAGGCGGCUCUCUGGACCGAGACUGACGCUGAGGCGCGAAAGCGUGGGGAGCAAACA